UGAAAUUUGUAGAGAGAUAACGCU
RNAcentral lists this microRNA (24 nucleotides) under Gossypium raimondii (Peruvian cotton). RNAcentral describes it as "gra-miR8751b". The record is from miRBase by way of RNAcentral. Lineage: Eukaryota; Viridiplantae; Streptophyta; Magnoliopsida; Malvales; Malvaceae.